Molecule: ribosomal RNA, 253 nt
Filed under: uncultured bacterium
Lineage: Bacteria
Description: partial 16S ribosomal RNA
Rfam family: Bacterial small subunit ribosomal RNA
Source: RNAcentral
UACGGAGGGUCCAAACGUUGUCCGGAAUCACUGGGCGUAAAGAGCAUGUAGGUGGAUUUGUAAGUGUACGAUUAAAGACCGACGCCUAACGUCGGGAGUGUUGUACAAACUGCAUAUCUUGAAUUUAUCAGGGGCAAGCGGAACUUUGGGUGUAGGGGUGAAAUCCGUAGAUAUCCAAAGGAACACCAAUGGCGAAGGCAGCUUGCUAGGGUAAUAUUGACACUGAGAUGCGAAAGCGUGGGGAGCGAACAGG